Perkinsus marinus ATCC 50983 is the source of this 87-nucleotide non-coding RNA. The record is from Rfam. Lineage: Eukaryota; Perkinsozoa; Perkinsida; Perkinsidae.
UUGAAAUGAUGAUACCAGUAAUACCAGUUCUGCUACUGAAACCUCAUGUAGAGAACUCUUACCAUUCAUCUCUCAUCGCACUGAAUC